CCUACGGGAGGCAGCAGUCGAGAAUCAUUCACAAUGGGGGAAACCCUGAUGGUGCGACGCCGCGUGGGGGAAUGAAGGUCUUCGGAUUGUAAACCCCUGUCAUGUGGGAGCAAAUUAAAAAGAUAGUACCACAAGAGGAAGAGACGGCUAACUCUGGGCCAGCAGCCGCGGUAAUACAGAGGUCUCAAGCGUGGUUCGGAAUCACUGGGCGUAAAGCGUGCGUAGGCUGUUUCGUAAGUCGUGUGUGAAAGGCGCGGGCUCAACCCGCGGACGGCACAUGAUACUGCGAGACUAGAGUAAGGGAGGGGGAACCGGAAUUCUCGGUGUAGCAGUGAAAUGCGUAGAUAUCGAGAGGAACACUCGUGGCGAAGGCGGGUUCCUGGACAUUAACUGACGCUGAGGCACGAAGGCCAGGGGAGCGAAAGGGAUUAGAUACCCGAGUAGUC
This 446-nucleotide ribosomal RNA is filed under the name uncultured bacterium. RNAcentral's name for it is "partial 16S ribosomal RNA". It matches the Rfam family "Bacterial small subunit ribosomal RNA", at positions 338 to 795 of the family's 1533-position model. The record is from RNAcentral.